UUAUUAUUUAUGACUAUCACUACCUCAUUAAUACUGAAGCGUCAGUGUGUUAGCAGCAUGUUGUAGCUGCUGGAGGCAGAGCUAGUUUGAACUACUUUUACCGGGACACCACAUAUAUCGGAGGGGUGUUAGGGGUUAUUGCAUAUAUCUUAAAAUGAAACCCUGUAAAAAUUGUAGAGAGAAAAAUCACUAGUUGGUCAGGCCAAAAAGAUUGGAAACCACUGGUCUAAUCUUUAAGAAUGUGUUGCAUGUGCUCCUUAUAUUAUCUGUAGCCGGUGGGACCAAUGGGUGUAGCGAACUUUUAUUUUGAUUCACCUCUGUCACCUUUCUCCUGUGUGUACGUCACUAGUAGGGUCUUGGGCUGGGUUCCAAUUAGUUUAGUGCGAACAGGCAUAGAUAUAUACACCUUGGGUCCUUAUGCCGGUAGCCGUCCAUUGCUGAUUGUGGAGUGAAGCCGCGUUCUGGAGCGUUGUCUUCAGCGACACGGUAGCGUGUUAUAGAGCGGAUGCCAACAGGAACGAGUUGAGCGUCUUCCCUACCAACUGCACUCCAUAUCCCGUUUACAUGCAUCGCAACGUGUUAAGUAGCAGUCAGUGUAUCAGUGCGGUGGUUAUUGUGGUUGCUGGCAGCGUAUAGAUACCAGGUGCAUGACGUUCUCGGGUGCAGCUGUUUAGACAGCGAAGAAGCUAUUGAAGCACACAGCUAUACAGCAUUGUUAGCUGCUGUUCUCUUCCAGUUAGUUAUAGGUCCGGGUGCUGCUUUUAGAAUAUAUGCAUCUCUGUUUUCCCCUCUAGCCUGGGGGCCUAGGUGUGUAUAUGUGGUUAAGAGGAUAUUGUGAGCCACAGGUUAGAGGGUUUAUUUUUGUUUGUUUCAUUAAUUUGUUAUCUGUUUCCCCUGUGUCAUCUCCCCUGCCGCAAUAGCCUGGGUAUCGUUUGGGGCCCUAGCCUAGAUUACAGGUUGGCCAGGUUUUCCUCUAAGAUAGUUUCUCACCUUUGAUAAGAUGUGCAGUGUAAUGCAGUGAAGUGUGAACCCCUUUUUCUUAAUGUGCCCAAGUGGUGCGCUUGCGGUGGUGUGGCCAAUGAGCUAGUAGUGUGUGCUCUCCUUCACGUGUGGUAUUGGAGGCAGGCCCCUGUUAGUCUGUGUGGUCAGUGGCUCCGGAUUCUUACCCAACGGCUGGGGCAUUCCCCUGAAGUCCAUUUAAUGUAUUUAUGUAUUUAUUUAUUUAUUGACAACCAAAGUGACACCUUGUUUUAACGGGAAACAAAAUUAAACCUAAU
Molecule: long non-coding RNA, 1277 nt
Organism: Clupea harengus (Atlantic herring)
Lineage: Eukaryota; Metazoa; Chordata; Actinopteri; Clupeiformes; Clupeidae
Exons: 4
Source: RefSeq, a predicted model, not a curated record